GAUGAACGCUGGCGGCGUGCUUAACACAUGCAAGUCGAACGAUGAACCUCACUUGUGGGGGGAUUAGUGGCGAACGGGUGAGUAACACGUGAGUAACCUGCCCUUGACUCUGGGAUAAGCCUGGGAAACUGGGUCUAAUACCGGAUAUGACUUGUCACCGCAUGGUGGUGGGUGGAAAGCUUUUGUGGUUUUGGAUGGACUCGCGGCCUAUCAGCUUGUUGGUGGGGUAAUGGCCUACCAAGGCGACGACGGGUAGCCGGCCUGAGAGGGUGACCGGCCACACUGGGACUGAGACACGGCCCAGACUCCUACGGGAGGCAGCAGUGGGGAAUAUUGCACAAUGGGCGCAAGCCUGAUGCAGCGACGCCGCGUGAGGGAUGAAGGCCCUAGGGUUGUAAAGCUCUUUUGUGCGGGAAGAUAAUGACGGUACCGCAAGAAUAA
RNAcentral lists this ribosomal RNA (441 nucleotides) under uncultured bacterium. RNAcentral's name for it is "bacterial SSU rRNA". It matches the Rfam family "Bacterial small subunit ribosomal RNA", at positions 28 to 489 of the family's 1533-position model. The record is from RNAcentral.